GAUGAACGCUGGCGGCGUGCCUAAUACAUGCAAGUCGAGCGAACAGACGAGGAGCUUGCUCCUCUGACGUUAGCGGCGGACGGGUGAGUAACACGUGGAUAACCUACCUAUAAGACUGGGAUAACUUCGGGAAACCGGCGCUAAUACCGGAUAAUAUAUUGAACCGCAUGGUUCAAUAGUGAAAGACGGUUUUGCUGUCACUUAUAGAUGGAUCCGCGCCGCAUUAGCUAGUUGGUAAGGUAACGGCUUACCAAGGCAACGAUGCGUAGCCGACCUGAGAGGGUGAUCGGCCACACUGGAACUGAGACACGGUCCAGACUCCUACGGGAGGCAGCAGUAGGGAAUCGGCCGCAAUGGGCGAAAGCCUGACGGAGCAACGCCGCGUGAGUGAUGAAGGUCUUCGGAUCGUAAAACUCUGUUAUUAGGGAAGAACAAAUGUGUAAGUAACUAUGCACGUCUUGACGGUACCUAAUCAGAAAGCCACGGCUAACUACGUG
This 497-nucleotide ribosomal RNA is filed under the name uncultured bacterium. RNAcentral describes it as "partial 16S ribosomal RNA". It matches the Rfam family "Bacterial small subunit ribosomal RNA", at positions 28 to 507 of the family's 1533-position model. The record is from RNAcentral.